RNAcentral lists this ribosomal RNA (724 nucleotides) under uncultured bacterium. RNAcentral's name for it is "bacterial SSU rRNA". It matches the Rfam family "Bacterial small subunit ribosomal RNA", at positions 157 to 883 of the family's 1533-position model. The record is from RNAcentral.
GAAAGAUUAAUACCCGAUGGCAUAGUUCUUCCGCAUGGUGGAACUAUUAAAGAAUUUCGGUCAUCGAUGGGGAUGCGUUCCAUUAGGUUGUUGGCGGGGUAACGGCCCACCAAGCCUUCGAUGGAUAGGGGUUCUGAGAGGAAGGUCCCCCACAUUGGAACUGAGACACGGUCCAAACUCCUACGGGAGGCAGCAGUGAGGAAUAUUGGUCAAUGGACGAGAGUCUGAACCAGCCAAGUAGCGUGAAGGAUGACUGCCCUAUGGGUUGUAAACUUCUUUUAUACGGGAAUAAAGUGAGGCACGUGUGCCUUUUUGUAUGUACCGUAUGAAUAAGGAUCGGCUAACUCCGUGCCAGCAGCCGCGGUAAUACGGAGGAUCCGAGCGUUAUCCGGAUUUAUUGGGUUUAAAGGGAGCGUAGGCGGACGCUUAAGUCAGUUGUGAAAGUUUGCGGCUCAACCGUAAAAUUGCAGUUGAUACUGGGUGUCUUGAGUACAGUAGAGGCAGGCGGAAUUCGUGGUGUAGCGGUGAAAUGCUUAGAUAUCACGAAGAACUCCGAUUGCGAAGGCAGCUUGCUGGACUGUAACUGACGCUGAUGCUCGAAAGUGUGGGUAUCAAACAGGAUUAGAUACCCUGGUAGUCCACACAGUAAACGAUGAAUACUCGCUGUUUGCGAUAUACAGUAAGCGGCCAAGCGAAAGCGUUAAGUAUUCCACCUGGGGAGUAC